GAUGAACGCUGGUGGCGUGCCUAAUACAUGCAAGUCGAGCGAACGGACGAGAAGCUUGCUUCUCUGAUGUUAGCGGCGGACGGGUGAGUAACACGUGGAUAACCUACCUAUAAGACUGGGAUAACUUCGGGAAACCGGAGCUAAUACCGGAUAAUAUUUUGAACCGCAUGGUUCAAAAGUGAAAGACGGUCUUGCUGUCACUUAUAGAUAGAUCCGCGCUGCAUUAGCUAGUUGGUAAGGUAACGGCUUACCAAGGCAACGAUGCAUAGCCGACCUGAGAGGGUGAUCGGCCACACUGGAACUGAGACACGGUCCAGACUCCUACGGGAGGCAGCAGUAGGGAAUCUUCCGCAAUGGGCGAAAGCCUGACGGAGCAACGCCGCGUGAGUGAUGAAGGUCUUCGGAUCGUAAAACUCUGUUAUUAGGGAAGAACAUAUGUGUAAGUAACUGUGCACAUCUUGACGGUACCUAAUCAGAAAGCCACGGCUAACUACGUG
This 497-nucleotide ribosomal RNA is filed under the name uncultured bacterium. RNAcentral describes it as "partial 16S ribosomal RNA". It matches the Rfam family "Bacterial small subunit ribosomal RNA", at positions 28 to 507 of the family's 1533-position model. The record is from RNAcentral.